This is a long non-coding RNA of Hyla sarda, 614 nucleotides long. RefSeq lists it as uncharacterized. The transcript has 4 exons. NCBI's taxonomy places the organism in Eukaryota, Metazoa, Chordata, Amphibia, Anura, Hylidae. The record is from RefSeq and is a predicted model, not a curated record.
AAAAUAGUACACUGACCUGAAUGAAAUGGAUUAUGAAACAACAAAAAUAAAUUACAAUACAAAGCAUGCGUAACACUAUGAUAUGGUAUAAUGAUUGAGCACAUGGAACAUGCAAUGUUAUGGUAAAAUUAAACAUUUUGGCUGUGAAUGAGGUUAACAUAAGUUUGUAUCUUCCCACAUAUUUAGAUUCUUAUGUAACCCUGUUACUCAACAUUUAUUUUGUUUUUUUUUCUCUCAAUUUAAUUGUGAAUUGAAUAGACCAGUGCAUCUGGAAACUGGCAUUAAAGGCUACAGUGCAUUAUGAAGCAAGAAGCUAAAUCUAAAGGGAAGAAGGUGUGCAGGAAAGGUCUACUAUAAGAAUAUUUCAGGUACGCCUUCAGAAUAAGAGCAGCAUAAGAAGCCUUGGGAAUCGAGUACACAGACUUGCAUUUUGUGUCAUAUUCUACAGCAUCACAGAAGAUGAAAGGGACACAGAAAAUGUACCAGAACAUGUUAACACAGGAAACAUGAACAUACCUGAUCCUUUGAAGGUGCAAGUAGUUCUUCAAUCAUCAUACUGUCCCGGGCAAAAGAACUCCUGUUCAGUGUGUAGGACCUAUCCGAACUGAAGGAGC